UACGUAGGGUGCAAGCGUUGUCCGGAAUUAUUGGGCGUAAAGGGCUCGUAGGCGGUCCAUCGCGUCGGGAGUGAAAAGCUGGGGCUUAACCCCAGUCCUGCUUCCGAUACGGGUGGACUAGAGGUAGGUAGGGGAGAUCGGAAUUCCUAGUGUAGCGGUGAAAUGCGCAGAUAUUAGGAGGAACACCGGUGGCGAAGGCGGAUCUCUGGGCCUUACCUGACGCUGAGGAGCGAAAGCAUGGGGAGCAAACAGG
RNAcentral lists this ribosomal RNA (253 nucleotides) under uncultured bacterium. Its description in RNAcentral is "partial 16S ribosomal RNA". It matches the Rfam family "Bacterial small subunit ribosomal RNA", at positions 524 to 776 of the family's 1533-position model. The record is from RNAcentral.